UACAGAGGUCUCAAGCGUUGUUCGGAUUCAUUGGGCGUAAAGGGUGCGUAGGUGGCGAGGUUAGUCAGGUGUGAAAUCUCGGGGCUCAACCCCGAAACUGCACUUGAUACUGCCUUGCUAGAGUACUGGAGAGGAGAUUGGAAUUUACGGUGUAGCAGUGAAAUGCGUAGAUAUCGUAAGGAAGACCAGUGGCGAAGGCGAAUCUCUGGACGGUUACUGACACUGAGGCACGAAGGCCAGGGGAGCAAACGGG
Molecule: ribosomal RNA, 253 nt
Filed under: uncultured bacterium
Lineage: Bacteria
Description: partial 16S ribosomal RNA
Rfam family: Bacterial small subunit ribosomal RNA
Source: RNAcentral